RNAcentral lists this ribosomal RNA (564 nucleotides) under uncultured Glomeromycotina. RNAcentral describes it as "SSU rRNA". It matches the Rfam family "Eukaryotic small subunit ribosomal RNA", at positions 548 to 1114 of the family's 1831-position model. The record is from RNAcentral. Lineage: Eukaryota; Fungi; Glomeromycota.
UUGGAGGGCAAGUCUGGUGCCAGCAGCCGCGGUAAUUCCAGCUCCAAUGGCGUAUAUUAAAGUUGCCGCAGUUAAAAAGCUCGUAGUUGAAUUUCGGGACUAAUAUGUCGGUCGUGCCUCGGUACGUACUGGUAUUUUUGGUUUCUCCCUUCUGACGAACCUUGAUGUCAUUAAUUUGGUGUCUUGGGGAAUCAGGACUGUUACUUUGAAAAAAUUAGAGUGUUUAAAGCAGGCUCACGCUUGAAUACAUUAGCAUGGAAUAAUGAAAUAGGACGUUUGAUACUAUUUUGUUGGUUUCUAGGAUCGACGUAAUGAUUAAUAGGGAUAGUUGGGGGCAUUAGUAUUCAGUUGUCAGAGGUGAAAUUCUUGGAUUUAUUGAAGACUAACUACUGCGAAAGCAUUUGCCAAGGAUGUUUUCAUUAAUCAAGAACGAAAGUUAGGGGAUCGAAGACGAUCAGAUACCGUCGUAGUCUUAACCAUAAACUAUGCCGACUAGGGAUCGGAUGAUGUUAAUUUUUUAAUGACUCAUUCGGCGCCUUACGGGAAACCAAAGUGUUUGGGUUC